GUAGCUUGCUACCUGCCGGCGAGUGGCGAACGGGUGAGUAAUACAUCGGAACGUGCCCUGUAGUGGGGGAUAACUAGUCGAAAGACUAGCUAAUACCGCAUACGACCUGAGGGUGAAAGUGGGGGACCGCAAGGCCUCAUGCUAUAGGAGCGGCCGAUGUCUGAUUAGCUAGUUGGUGGGGUAAAGGCCCACCAAGGCGACGAUCAGUAGCUGGUCUGAGAGGACGAUCAGCCACACUGGGACUGAGACACGGCCCAGACUCCUACGGGAGGCAGCAGUGG
This 281-nucleotide ribosomal RNA is filed under the name Ralstonia solanacearum. Its description in RNAcentral is "partial 16S ribosomal RNA". It matches the Rfam family "Bacterial small subunit ribosomal RNA", at positions 75 to 357 of the family's 1533-position model. Lineage: Bacteria; Pseudomonadati; Pseudomonadota; Betaproteobacteria; Burkholderiales; Burkholderiaceae. The record is from RNAcentral.